CCUACGGGAGGCAGCAGUGGGGAAUAUUGGACAAUGGGGGGAACCCUGAUCCAGCGACGCCGCGUGAGUGAAGAAGUAUUUCGGUAUGUAAAGCUCUAUCAGCAGGGAAGAAAGAAAUGACGGUACCUGACUAGGAAGCCCCGGCUAACUACGUGCCAGCAGCCGCGGCAAUACGUAGGGGGCAAGCGUUAUCCGGAUUUACUGGGUGUACAGGGAGCGUAGACGGCGAUGCAAGUCUGAAGUGAAAGGCGGGGGCCCAACCUCCGCACUGCUUUGGAAACUGUAUGGCUGGAGUGCAGGAGAGGUAAGUGGAAUUCCUAGUGUAGCGGUGAAAUGCGUAGAUAUUAGGAGGAACACCAGUGGCGAAGGCAGCUUACUGGAAUGUAACUGACGUUGAGGCUCGAAAGCGUGGGGAGCAAACAGGAUUAGAUACCCGAGUAGUC
Molecule: ribosomal RNA, 443 nt
Filed under: uncultured bacterium
Lineage: Bacteria
Description: partial 16S ribosomal RNA
Rfam family: Bacterial small subunit ribosomal RNA
Source: RNAcentral